RNAcentral lists this ribosomal RNA (299 nucleotides) under uncultured archaeon. RNAcentral describes it as "partial 16S ribosomal RNA". It matches the Rfam family "Archaeal small subunit ribosomal RNA", at positions 341 to 648 of the family's 1478-position model. The record is from RNAcentral.
GGGCCAUCAUGCCGGCACGGCGAUAGGGGACCUCGAGUGCUAGGAUACAAUCUUGGCUGUCGUGAUGCCUAAAAAGCAUUAUAUAGCAAGGGCCGGGCAAGACCGGUGCCAGCCGCCGCGGUAACACCGGCGGCUCGAGUGGUAACCGCUAUUAUUUGGUCUAAAGGGUCUGUAGCCGGCCGGAUAAGUCUCUUGGGAAAUCUGGCAGCUCAACUGUCAGGCUAUCAGGAGAUACUGUCUGGCUCGAGGCCGGGAGAGGUGAGAGGUACUUCAGGGGUAGGAGUGAAAUCCUGUAAUCC